CACGUAGGCACCAAGCGUUGUCCGGAUUUAUUGGGCGUAAAGAGCUUGUAGGCGGUUCGGUUAGUCGGGUGUGAAACCUCUGGGCUCAACUCAGAGACGCCACCCGAUACUGCUGUGACUAGAGUGCGGUAGGGGAGCGGGGAAUUCCUGGUGUAGCGGUGAAAUGCGCAGAUAUCAGGAGGAACACCGGUGGUGUAGACGGCUUUCUGGACCGUAACUGACGCUGAGACACGAAAGCGUGGGUAGCAAACAGG
This 254-nucleotide ribosomal RNA is filed under the name uncultured bacterium. RNAcentral's name for it is "partial 16S ribosomal RNA". It matches the Rfam family "Bacterial small subunit ribosomal RNA", at positions 524 to 776 of the family's 1533-position model. The record is from RNAcentral.